UCUUAUUGAGAGUGGCUGAGGGAAUAGGCCCUGUGAAGCCCAGCAACCGUCUUUAUUGACAUGGUGCUACAUCCUACAGGGUAUAACCUGAAAGAUAAGA
RNAcentral lists this non-coding RNA (100 nucleotides) under Gracilibacillus phocaeensis. RNAcentral describes it as "SAM riboswitch (S box leader)". It matches the Rfam family "SAM riboswitch aptamer (S box leader)". From Rfam's summary of the family: The SAM riboswitch is found upstream of a number of genes which code for proteins involved in methionine or cysteine biosynthesis in Gram-positive bacteria. The SAM riboswitch acts at the level of transcription termination control. The record is from RNAcentral. Lineage: Bacteria; Bacillati; Bacillota; Bacilli; Caryophanales; Bacillaceae.